CUUCGGGGCGGGGUGAAAUUCCCCACCGGCAGUAAAAGCAUUUAAUGCUUAAAGCCUGCGAGCUGCUUUUCAGCGGUUGAUUCGGUGAAAUUCCGAAGCCGACGGUACAGUCCGGAUGAUAGAAG
This 125-nucleotide non-coding RNA is filed under the name bovine gut metagenome. Its description in RNAcentral is "FMN riboswitch (RFN element)". It matches the Rfam family "FMN riboswitch aptamer (RFN element)". Rfam says of the family: The RFN element is a highly conserved domain that is found frequently in the 5'-untranslated regions of prokaryotic mRNAs that encode for flavin mononucleotide (FMN) biosynthesis and transport proteins. This element is a metabolite-dependent riboswitch that directly binds FMN in the absence of proteins. The record is from RNAcentral.